Molecule: transfer RNA, 65 nt
Filed under: Cavia porcellus (domestic guinea pig)
Lineage: Eukaryota; Metazoa; Chordata; Mammalia; Rodentia; Caviidae
Rfam family: tRNA
About the family: Transfer RNA (tRNA) molecules are approximately 80 nucleotides in length.
Source: Rfam by way of RNAcentral
GGGGAUUUAGCUCAGCGGCAUAAGCGCCUGCCUUGCAAGCAGGCAGGUCAUGAGUUGGAUCCCCA